UACGUAGGGGGCUAGCGUUGUCCGGAAUCAUUGGGCGUAAAGCGCGUGUAGGCGGUCCGGUAAGUCCGCCGUGAAAGUCGGGGGCUCAACCCUCGGAUGCCGGUGGAUACUGUCGGGCUUGAGUACGGAAGAGGCGAGUGGAAUUCCUGGUGUAGCGGUGAAAUGCGCAGAUAUCAGGAGGAAUACCGGUGGCGAAAGCGACUCUCUGGACGGCAACUGACGCUGAGGCACGAAAGCGUGGGGAGCAAACAGG
This 253-nucleotide ribosomal RNA is filed under the name uncultured bacterium. Its description in RNAcentral is "partial 16S ribosomal RNA". It matches the Rfam family "Bacterial small subunit ribosomal RNA", at positions 524 to 776 of the family's 1533-position model. The record is from RNAcentral.